UACGUAGGGAGCUAGCGUUGUCCGGAAUCAUUGGGCGUAAAGCGCGCGUAGGCGGCCCGGUAAGUCCGCUGUGAAAGUCAAAGGCUCAACCUUUGAAUGUCAGCGGAUACUGCCGGGCUAGAGUCCGGAAGAGGCGAGUGGAACUCCUGGUGUAGCGGUGGAAUGCGCAGAUAUCAGGAGGAACACCUAUGGCGAAGGCAGCUCGCUGGGACGGUACUGACGCUGAGGCGCGAAAGCGUGGGGAGCGAACAGG
RNAcentral lists this ribosomal RNA (253 nucleotides) under uncultured bacterium. RNAcentral describes it as "partial 16S ribosomal RNA". It matches the Rfam family "Bacterial small subunit ribosomal RNA", at positions 524 to 776 of the family's 1533-position model. The record is from RNAcentral.